GCGGCUCCGCUCCUCCUGACGGGGCGCUCCGCCCUCAGAGCUGCGCUGGCUGAACGAAGCUGCUUCCCUGAGAGAGGAGAUGAGGUUCCACGUGUAGGUUUUCCCUUCCCCCUGGCAGGGCAGGCACUAUCAGCAUCCCAGGCAGAACCAGGAGGUGUGCUGGAGGAGGAUUGCUUUGUUCCUGGCUGAUGGACUAAAGUAAACGUAGAGAAAAAGGUGCACAUAGUCGUCAUUGUCGUCAGCAACUGGAGAUGGUAAGAGUCAUUUAGCUUCAUUUAGACAACCU
Molecule: non-coding RNA, 286 nt
Organism: Meleagris gallopavo (turkey)
Lineage: Eukaryota; Metazoa; Chordata; Aves; Galliformes; Phasianidae
Source: RefSeq, a predicted model, not a curated record